UUUUUCUUCUUCCUUCUGCACAACAGAAAGCAACAGGCAAGCUCUCUUUCAAAAAUCAUUCCCACUUUAGAAGCAGAGCCAAAAUCGUGACUCGGCUGACCUUGUGCUUGGGAGUGAUACUGCUCACAGCUCUGAAAGGCUCCUGCAGGUUAAUUUAGGUUCCUGCUGAAACUCUUCUGAUUUGUUCUGACUUUCAAUGGUUUCCUGGAGAUAAACUCACUUGCUAAUAGGCAGGAAUUAUUCCUCAUUUUAGGAGCAACACUCUGCCCACGCCAGCUGAUAAAAUAUAGGGCGGAGCCUGGCAAGCUACCUGUGAUGUAUCCAAUAUGCAAAAAAAAAGUAACAGUAACGUGCUCUUCAUGUUUCUGGAGCGAGCAGAUGCCAUUGGGCUACACUAGCACGUGACAGGUUACUGGCACCUGCUGGAGCAAGGAUGACAGUGAUACAGUGAUGAUUUUCGUUACAGCAAUUUAUCACCCUAAGGAAAUCUUUUUUUGAAAACCACCAAAACCACUGAAAGGGAUGUCUUCAUGAUUGUUAUGAUUUUAUGAUUAUUCUGCUAUACUUCCUGUAUUG
Molecule: long non-coding RNA, 576 nt
Organism: Sorex araneus (European shrew)
Lineage: Eukaryota; Metazoa; Chordata; Mammalia; Eulipotyphla; Soricidae
Exons: 3
Source: RefSeq, a predicted model, not a curated record